Long non-coding RNA from Papaver somniferum (opium poppy), 750 nucleotides. RefSeq lists it as uncharacterized. Lineage: Eukaryota; Viridiplantae; Streptophyta; Magnoliopsida; Ranunculales; Papaveraceae. The record is from RefSeq and is a predicted model, not a curated record. The transcript is spliced from 4 exons.
GUAACUUUUGAGCAAGAUUUUGAACUCAAAAUGCAGCUCCUGAUGGUUUCCCAAUCGCGAGGGUUCAUCACACGAUUGCGCAUCCAUGGAGCGUAAUGGUCAAGCCUAUACUCCUUGUAUACUCUACCAGCUUUGGUGACUUUUGAACAUUGUUUGUGGGGAACUUAUUUUAUAAGCUGUCACGGAAUAAUAUAUUGAAGUAGUCUCAAGGCAAGAAAAGAAUUUUGUGGACCAACAUUUGGUUGCUCAACAGCAUUGGCCACAGUUAAAGAUGUGGGACUAUCCAUAGAACUUGUGUGCAGCAAUGGAAUAUUUACACAACUCUCCAAGUUUGAGGAUCUAGAAGCCAAUAAAGGAAGCCUGUACCUAGGAGGUGUCACUGGGAGAUCAAAACUUGGUUUGUCCAACUCUCUAUCAAACCUUACAUUGAUCUCACCUCAUUGUUGGGCUUCACUCUUCACUUGGGAAGCUUCAUUUACGAAUUAGCUCCCCAAUGCCUGAAAUGGUAUCUAGCUCAGGAAUGAGGGAAGAAAAAGGAGCAAAAAUACAUUGGGGCAUUCCGAGAAUUGAACUCGGGACCUCUCGCACCCUAAGCGAGAAUCAUACCACUAGACCAAAUGCCCAUGUUGAAAUUGAGUUUGUGAGACACUGAGAUAUGAUUCUGCAAUUGUUAUACCCAAGUCGAGUAGUCGGGACAAAGCAUGCUUAAGCCUGCAAAGUUUGUCUGAAGAUCGGUGGAGGUGAGCAGAG